Long non-coding RNA from Gallus gallus (chicken), 924 nucleotides. The record is from Ensembl. NCBI's taxonomy places the organism in Eukaryota, Metazoa, Chordata, Aves, Galliformes, Phasianidae.
ACAGUGGAAGUUUUGCUGCCCUGAUCCCUGCCUGGAAGUUCAGGGACGUGAGAAGCAUGGGAAGACUGACUGGCAGUGAAGAUUAAGGCAAAGAACCCAAUAAUGCACAGCAAGAAGUCCAAAAGAAAGAAGAUUAAACUGUAAUGUAAUGCGAUAAAAGAAGAAGUCCACAUCAUAACAUCAUGGACAAAAGAGAAGAAAAACUACAUAUCCCAGGGGACCUCAUGGUCAGAGAAGGAAGAUACAUCACGGAAGAUCCUUCUCUACGGACCGUUUGCUGACGGACUUCCCUGGGCCUGCUACCUGAGACCUGCUGCUUCCUCCCUGACCUGCACCCUCUUGUUGCCCAAGACCGGCCUCACUGCUCCUGCCCUUCGGCCUCGGACCGUCGGAACAUCGUGCAACAGGACUACUGCUGGAUCCUGGUGUGACCAGGCUGAUCUCAUGCUGGGCUCACGAUUUGAUUCUUCUUCCUCCUGUUCUUCAUAUAUUCUCCUGUUCUCAUGGCUGGGAGUGUACAAGAAGCUAGGAAGAGACACAGCCAGGAUAGCUGAUCAUAACUGUACAAAGGAAUAUUCCAUACCAUGUGACACUGCCCUCAGCUGUAGAAAAACGUCAUAUAACAGGCACCAGAAGCUAUACAUUUGGACUCCUCUGCAACUUGCGCAGAAAAGAAGGUGCUGAAUUUCCUAUGUCUUAAAAUGGUCAUGCACUGUCCUGGUUUCUGCUAUGACAGUAUUUUCUGACUUUUUUUCUUUUUUUUCCGAUUCUCUUUUCUUCCCUGUUCCACUGAGGGCAGGGGAGAUGAGCAAACAGCUUUAUGGUGCUUCACCGCCUGCUGUGUUAAACCAUAACAUGCAUCUUUGAUGACUUAUGGGUAUCUUAUUUACUUAUAACAUAUUUUACCUAAAAGGUGAGGAAUAA